Molecule: long non-coding RNA, 516 nt
Filed under: Daucus carota (carrot)
Lineage: Eukaryota; Viridiplantae; Streptophyta; Magnoliopsida; Apiales; Apiaceae
Description: long non-coding RNA (DCAR_LNC006262)
Source: RNAcentral
CCAGUUCAUGUUACUUGAAUUUACCGCUGUAUGGCUGAUAAGUUAGGCUUCUAAAAUCCCCCACCUCCUACCCUCCUCUUAAGUGUCAGAUGCCCUUCAAGAGUUGAACAACCACCAAGUUCAAGACAUUCCAUUAUGCUGAGAUUGCAGAUGCUUCUCGGAAGAUAUGUGAGGCUCUGGUAGUUACCUAAUUCAAUCUUAACAACUUUUCUCAGGGACUGAUGGAUUCAGCUAAUGUCUUGAUAUCUCAUAUUAACCACGCCAUCCAGGUUUCAAAUUGUACUUCUAUUAAACCUCGUACAAUUUAAUCUGAAUCUUACCUACCAUUGAAUUUAAUGGAGGUUGAAAUCCGUCUAUCUGUAACAUAAGCUUGUUGUAAAAGUGCCAGGGCAAAAUGCUCAAAAAUGAAACUCAAAUCAUUGGUCAUUUUGGAUUUCUCAUGUGACCCAUCGCCAAAUAUCUGAAGAAGAAUAGAUCUUCAUAAUAAUGAUCCAAAUUCAUCAGAAGAAUCAUCAG